GACGAACGCUGGCGGCGUGCCUAAUACAUGCAAGUUGAGCGCUGAAGGUUGGUACUUGUACCAACUGGAUGAGCAGCGAACGGGUGAGUAACGCGUGGGGAAUCUGCCUUUGAGCGGGGGACAACAUUUGGAAACGAAUGCUAAUACCGCAUAAAAACUUUAAACACAAGUUUUAAGUUUGAAAGAUGCAAUUGCAUCACUCAAAGAUGAUCCCGCGUUGUAUUAGCUAGUUGGUGAGGUAAAGGCUCACCAAGGCGAUGAUACAUAGCCGACCUGAGAGGGUGAUCGGCCACAUUGGGACUGAGACACGGCCCAAACUCCUACGGGAGGCAGCAGUAGGGAAUCUUCGGCAAUGGACGAAAGUCUGACCGAGCAACGCCGCGUGAGUGAAGAAGGUUUUCGGAUCGUAAAACUCUGUUGGUAGAGAAGAACGUUGGUGAGAGUGGAAAGCUCAGCAAGUGACGGUAACUACCCAGAAAGGAACGGCUAACUACGU
Molecule: ribosomal RNA, 496 nt
Filed under: uncultured bacterium
Lineage: Bacteria
Description: partial 16S ribosomal RNA
Rfam family: Bacterial small subunit ribosomal RNA
Source: RNAcentral